This 253-nucleotide ribosomal RNA is filed under the name uncultured bacterium. RNAcentral describes it as "partial 16S ribosomal RNA". It matches the Rfam family "Bacterial small subunit ribosomal RNA", at positions 524 to 776 of the family's 1533-position model. The record is from RNAcentral.
UACGUAUGGGGCAAGCGUUAUCCGGAUUUACUGGGUGUAAAGGGAGCGUAGACGGCGAUGCAAGCCAGAUGUGAAAGCCCGGGGCUCAACCCCGGGACUGCAUUUGGAACUGUAUAGCUAGAGUGUCGGAGAGGCAGGCGGAAUUCCUAGUGUAGCGGUGAAAUGCGUAGAUAUUAGGAGGAACACCAGUGGCGAAGGCGGCCUGCUGGACGAUGACUGACGUUGAGGCUCGAAAGCGUGGGGAGCAAACAGG